RNAcentral lists this long non-coding RNA (1063 nucleotides) under Bos grunniens (domestic yak). RNAcentral's name for it is "lncRNA (ENSBGRG00000000688.1)". The record is from RNAcentral. Lineage: Eukaryota; Metazoa; Chordata; Mammalia; Artiodactyla; Bovidae.
UUCCUCCUCCAGGGGAUCUUCCCAACCCAGAGAUCGAACCCACAUCUCCCGCACUGGCAGGCAGAUUGUUUACCACUGAGCCACCAGGGAAAUCCCCUAAGGAGAGGUAGGUAGCUGCUCCCUACAACAUCUUUCUCUGUGUUGCCUUUUGGCUUUUUUGAAUCCUCCAACUCCUGUUUAGAGAAUUCUCUAUGUUAAAUUUUCUCUGUUAAAACAAUUGGAUUUAGUUCCUGCUUUCCUGCCUGGAUCCUCACAGAUACAAAAUACAUAAGCAUGUGGCUACGAAAGCACAAGGCAAGGUGAAGAGAGUUGUGUCGAUGUGCCAGGCUCAUGGGUGCUUCUGUAUCUUUCUCCAAAUAUUUCUAAAGUCCUGGUAUGAUUUGGUUUCGUAACUGUGCCCUUCCCGGAGGACAGCAUGUACCCUACGUACGAGGGCCAGCCACUCCUAUGCUGUAAUGAUAGGUAAGGAAACCAAUUUAUGUAACUCACUAGUAUUUGCCAGAUGGGAGGGGACAGAAGACAAGGGCUGGGAGAAAAAGCAAACAGAACACUGAAAGAGAUGCUAUCUAACAGAGAGGAGAAAAAUGUUUUCUGAUUACAGGAAAACAUGCUUACACAGCCUGCAGAAAUCUUCAGGUUUUAAGUUGUCUCAAGGAAACAAUCGAAAGAACCAAGAAGAGAAGAGAGCUGCAAGUGUUUCUUAGAAUUGAAACAAAAAUCUUUCUUUUUUUUUUUCCUGACUGGUUCAAUUUCCCUCGCAGUGCAGGUGAGAAAAAAAUAAAAAAGCAAAUAUAUUAAGUUAACCAAUGAUUCUUUAAAAGUGCAAUUUCCUUUUAAAAUAACAAAUAAACAACAACACCAACAAAAAGAAAUAAACCCCAACCAUAACCCCAAAGGCAAAACGUGUGUGGAGAGACAAGUGUCGUGAUGGGAUUAGCUAUUUUUUGAUGUUACGCUUUAUGAAAGCAGAUUUGGUUUUAUAAAAGCCUGCAAACGUAACAUGGCUUAGGAGGACCUGUAAACACGUUUGGAAGAAGAUGCAACACAGCUCAACAAAGACAGG